AUUGAACGCUGGCGGCAUGCCUAACACAUGCAAGUCGAGCGGAGCGGCGGACGGGUGAGUAAUGCCUAGGAAUCUGCCUGGUCGUGGGGGAUAACGUCCGGAUACGGGCUCUAAUACCGCAUACUCUCUGCGUCGCCUAGGUCGGAUUGGCUAGUUGGUGGGGUAAAGGCCUACGAAGGCGACGAUCCGUAACUGGUCUGAGAGGAUGAUCAGUCACACUGGAACUGAGACACGGUCCAUACGCCUACGGGAGGCAGCCGUGGGGAAUAUUGGACAAUGGGCGAAAGACUGAUCCAGCCAUGCCGAGUGUGUGAAGAAGGUAUUCGGAUUGUAAAGCGCUUUAAGUUGGGAGGCGUUACCAACAGAAUAAGCACCGGCUAACUUCGUGCCAGCAGCCGCGGUAAUAC
This 407-nucleotide ribosomal RNA is filed under the name uncultured bacterium. RNAcentral's name for it is "partial 16S ribosomal RNA". It matches the Rfam family "Bacterial small subunit ribosomal RNA", at positions 30 to 526 of the family's 1533-position model. The record is from RNAcentral.